Molecule: ribosomal RNA, 1267 nt
Filed under: uncultured organism
Description: bacterial SSU rRNA
Rfam family: Bacterial small subunit ribosomal RNA
Source: RNAcentral
CGUGCUUAACACAUGCAAGUCGAGCGGAGAUUGCAUUUAUGUAAUCUUAGCGGCGGACGGGUGAGUAACGCGUAGGCAACCUGCCUUGCACAGAGGGAUAACACCGGGAAACUGGUGCUAAUACCACAUGAUAUCAUAACAAGGCAUCUUGAAAUGAUCAAAGGAGAAAUCCGGUGCAAGAUGGGCCUGCGUCCGAUUAGUUAGUUGGUGAGGUAACGGCUCACCAAGGCGACGAUCGGUAGCCGAACUGAGAGGUUGAUCGGCCACAUUGGGACUGAGACACGGCCCAGACUCCUACGGGGGGCAGCAGUGGGGAAUAUUGCGCAAUGGGGGGAACCCUGACGCAGCAACGCCGCGUGAAGGAAGAAGGCCUUCGGGUUGUAAACUUUUUUGAUUGGGGAAGAAAAAAAUGACGGUACCCAAGGAACAAGCCACGGCUAACUACGUGCCAGCAGCCGCGGUAAUACGUAGGUGGCGAGCGUUGUCCGGAAUUACUGGGUGUAAAGGGCGUGUAGGCGGGAUUGUAAGUCAGAUGUGAAAUUCCAGGGCUUAACUCUGGAGGUGCAUCUGAAACUAUAAUUCUUGAGUGCUGGAGAGGAAAGCGGAAUUCCUAGUGUAGCGGUGAAAUGCGUAGAUAUUAGGAAGAACACCAGUGGCGAAGGCGGCUUUCUGGACAGUAACUGACGCUGAGGCGCGAAAGCGUGGGGAGCAAACAGGAUUAGAUACCCUGGUAGUCCACGCUGUAAACGAUGGAUACUAGGUGUAGGAGGUAUCGACCCCUUCUGUGCCGGAGUUAACACAAUAAGUAUCCCACCUGGGGAGUACGGCCGCAAGGCUGAAACUCAAAGGAAUUGACGGGGGCCCGCACAAGCAGUGGAGUAUGUGGGUUAAUUCGAAAGGCACGCGAAGAACCUUACCAGGGCUUGACAUCCCUCGCGAUACCUUAGAGAUAUGUUAGUCCUUCGGGACGAGGACACAGGUGGUUCAUGGUUGUCGUCAGCUCGUGUCGUGAGAUGUUGGGUUAAGUCCCGCUACGAGCGCAACCCCUAUUGUUAGUUGCCAUCAUUAAGUUGAGCACUCUUACGAGUCUCCCUGGUGACAUAUCGGAGUAAUGGUGGGUACGACGUCAUAUCAUCAUGCCCUUUAUCUCCUGGUCUACACAUGUACUACAAGUGGUCACUACAAAGGGAAGCAUAUACCGCAAGGAGGAGCAUAUCCCCAAAGGUGACCUCAGUUCGGAUUGUGGGCUGAAACCCGCCCACAUGAA